This 400-nucleotide ribosomal RNA is filed under the name uncultured bacterium. RNAcentral's name for it is "bacterial SSU rRNA". It matches the Rfam family "Bacterial small subunit ribosomal RNA", at positions 29 to 419 of the family's 1533-position model. The record is from RNAcentral.
AAUCAACGCUGGCGGCGUGCCUAACACAUGCAAGUCGAGCGCGAAAGGGGGCAACCCCGAGUAGAGCGGCGAACGGGUGAGUAACGCGUGGGUGAUUUGCCUCCGAGUGGGGAACAACACCGGGAAACUGGUGCUAAUACCGCAUGACAUCCUCGGGUCGUACUGGGGAUCAAAGCUGGGGACCGCAAGGCCUAGCGCUUGGAGAGAAGCCCGCGUCCGAUUAGCUAGUUGGCGGGGUAAUGGCCUACCAAGGCGACGAUCGGUAGCCGGCCUGAGAGGGCGGACGGCCACACUGGGACUGAGACACGGCCCAGACUCCUACGGGAGGCAGCAGUGGGGAAUUUUUCGCAAUGGGGGAAACCCGUGACGAAGCAACGCCGCGUGGAGGAUGAAGGCCUUC